UCGACGGAGCUGUUUUCUCUGAAGUUUUCGGAUGGAAGAGAGUUCAGCUUAGUGGCGAACGGGUGAGUAACACGUGAGCAACCUGCCUUUCAGUGGGGGACAACAUUUGGAAACGAAUGCUAAUACCGCAUAAGACCACAGUGUCGCAUGGCACAGGGGUCAAAGGAUUUAUCCGCUGAAAGAUGGGCUCGCGUCCGAUUAGCUAGAUGGUGAGGUAACGGCCCACCAUGGCGACGAUCGGUAGCCGGACUGAGAGGUUGAACGGCCACAUUGGGACUGAGACACGGCCCAGACUCCUACGGGAGGCAGCAGUGGGGAAUAUUGCACAAUGGGGGAAACCCUGAUGCAGCGACGCCGCGUGGAGGAAGAAGGUCUUCGGAUUGUAAACUCCUGUCCCAGGGGACGAUAAUGACGGUACCCUGGGAGGAAGCACCGGCUAACUACGUGCCAGCAGCCGCGGUAAAACGUAGGGUGCAAGCGUUGUCCGGAAUUACUGGGUGUAAAGGGAGCGCAGGCGGAUUGACAAGUUGGGAGUGAAAUCUAUGGGCUCAACCCAUAAAUUGCUUUCAAAACUGUCAGUCUUGAGUGGUGUAGAGGUAGGCGGAAUUCCCGGUGUAGCGGUGG
RNAcentral lists this ribosomal RNA (624 nucleotides) under uncultured bacterium. Its description in RNAcentral is "bacterial SSU rRNA". It matches the Rfam family "Bacterial small subunit ribosomal RNA", at positions 62 to 684 of the family's 1533-position model. The record is from RNAcentral.